AUGGGGGACUCCACAAGAAUUCUCGAUGAGAAAUGGGCCAGGGAAAUUGCAUUGGUCCUCGUCUCCGUCGUCUUUUUCCGAAUUUUGCACAUUGUGAUCUACCGAUUCUUGUUCGGAGAAUGGAGGUUAGACUGUCACAACUUCUGCAAGCAAACACAUGUUGAUAACGAAGAAACCGUGCCGGUGGCAGAGUCGGAGCCCGGAAAUGCGACAAUGUCUACCCUCAAAAAAUGGCGAAUUUCCAACGAAAGUGUGUCAAUGGUGCACUCGGCAAUCUCAGGAUUCUGGGCCGCCUACGCUUUGAUUGUGGACCCGGAGCUCUUCAAAAGCCCAAUUUUGUACCAUUGCAUUGUUGGCAGGAACCUGGUGCUCAUGAUGACUGGCUACCUGCUCAACGACCUCGUCGACCUCAUCUGCAAUGAACGAUCCGUCAGAAUCGUGGAGCUCCUCUUCCAUCACGUCGUCGUCCUCUCCGCCUUCACUAUUUGCCUGUUCUACGAUCUCAUGCUAGGCAUCGUCGUCGCCGGACUGCUCAUGGAGCUCAACUCGAUCUUCUUGCACAUCAGAAGCUUGAUGAACUUAUAUGGAUUCGACAAGAAGCUCACCGCAUUCCGCGUUACUGUAAUUCUGAACAUCAUCACUCUCGUGGUGUUCAGGCUGAUUGUAAAUGUUUACAUGAUCUACUUUGUGUUCGCAUCGUUCUCGAUGAGCCCAUGGUACAUUGCUUCAACGAUCUGCGUGCUCAUUCUUUGCCUCGCCAGCUCGAAUAUGGUGCUUACCUACCGUCUGUUGGCUGCCGAUGGAUUUUGUGGUAAGCGUUUACAGUAAUCUCUAUGUAAAGUUACAGUAGUCCUACAGUAACCCUCCCAAUUGUACCAUAAUCCUACAGUAACCUUACAGUACCUCGUACAGUAAUAGUCUUAACUCUACAGUACUUCUACAAGGCUUCCUACAGUAGCUAUGUUUACUGUAACAUAACCCUGGAGUAACUUUACAGUACACAUCUACAGUACCCUGGCAGUACCCUUACAGUAGAAGUGUUAACCGUACAGUACUUCUACAGUGCUACUUACAGUAACCGGCAUAACCCUUCAAGACCCGUACAGUAUUCUCCUCGAUGCACCAUAAUAUACUGUACCCCUUCAGUAAUCCCCUACAGUACCCUAAGAGUAAUGCGCUCCAACUGUACAGUACCCUUGCAGUAAAGGUCUCAAGCUCACGGUAUAGUUCUCCCCAUUGUUCUCCCCUACAGUACCCCUACAGUAACCCGUACAGUAUCCUCCUCGAUGCACCAUGGCCUACAGUACCCCUACAGUACCCUCAUAACGUCACCUCUCAUUUUCCAGGCGCAAGCCGUCAGCGACAAGUCCCAGCUAGAGUUGAAACAGAAGUUCCCCCGGAGCAUCAGAAUUUGGUGAAGCAAGUCGUGCAGGGCUCCGACCAAAAUGACGGGAUCAUUGGCUGA
RNA transcript from Caenorhabditis elegans, 1465 nucleotides. It is a transcript of the gene named Non-coding transcript of protein-coding gene K12H6.6b, with no coding region annotated. Lineage: Eukaryota; Metazoa; Nematoda; Chromadorea; Rhabditida; Rhabditidae. The transcript is spliced from 8 exons. The record is from RefSeq and is marked reviewed.